This 433-nucleotide ribosomal RNA is filed under the name uncultured bacterium. Its description in RNAcentral is "partial 16S ribosomal RNA". It matches the Rfam family "Bacterial small subunit ribosomal RNA", at positions 29 to 507 of the family's 1533-position model. The record is from RNAcentral.
AACGAACGCUGGCGGCAUGCCUAACACAUGCAAGUCGAACGAAGCCUUCGGGCUUAGUGGCGCACGGGUGCGUAACGCGUGGGAAUCUGCCCCUUGCUUCGGAAUAACAGUUAGAAAUGACUGCUAAUACCGGAUGAAGUCUUCGGACCAAAGAUUUAUCGGCAAGGGAUGAGCCCGCGUAGGAUUAGGUAGUUGGUGGGGUAAAGGCCUACCAAGCCGACGAUCCUUAGCUGGUCUGAGAGGAUGAUCAGCCACACUGGGACUGAGACACGGCCCAGACUCCUACGGGAGGCAGCAGUGGGGAAUAUUGGACAAUGGACGCAAGUCUAAUCCAGCAAUGCCGCGUGAGUGAUGAAGGCCUUAGGGUUGUAAAGCUCUUUUACCAGGGAUGAUAAUGACAGUACCUGGAGAAUAAGCUCCGGCUAACUCCGUG